GCCCACAGCUGUGUCCAAUGAGGAAAAGUGCUAUGAAAGAGUGGGGUAGCUGCGUAGAGAGGGAGGUGGAAUUUGUUGGUUGUGCAGUGAGGAGUUGUGUAUGGGAAAUCACCAAGAAGCCUGCUGUGAUUGUUGAGUGAAUUCUGUCCUGCUGUGAUUCCAGCAACUUUCAUCACCUCUCUGAGGAGCAGUGAGUUCUGCAUUGCCUCUUCUGAACUUCUGUGAAACCUCUGUGCAUCUUUUUUAUCAUCAGCUCUGAGUCAAGCACAUCCACUUCAGGAUGAUCAUCUACUCCCAUCUGAGAGGCCCCACACCCCUUCUCAGCAGAAAACAUGCAGAGUACAUGCUGCAACUGGCAAAUGCAUACAUCAGGACCGGUGCCUUUAAUCAGCCUCCCAUUGGCCACCUCAGCAAUGGGUUAACAUAACAGCACCGCAGGCAGCUGCACUGUGAGUUUGAGAAGCCAGGUGGUACCAGGUGUCAGAAUGGUUGUGAGGAGAACUCUUCAGUGGAAUUACAGCCUCUUGUUCAGCCCAGAAUUUAAGAAGAGGUGGAAAGAUGGAGAUAAUAACAACAAAAAAUUAAGGAGACAGAUCUGACCUUAUAAAAGUCUGUUUCCCCUUUGUAAUACGAAUAUAAUUUGUUUUAAAGGGGUUUGGCAGCCAUUCCUAUAGAUUUACUGAGUGUGGGAGGAAAAGCCUACUGUUUAAGGAAAUGGUGGAUGAUGAAUGUCUGCUUCCAGGUAAAAUCUUCAGUCGUCAGAUGACAGCAGAGAGGACCAGAAUGAUGUGCAGAAUCUGUCACUUGGUGAUAUGCUUCUAUUAAAUAAACAGAAUAGUUCACCUCUCUUUUGAAACAUAGCAUCUAAUAAAAUAACUAAAAAGCAUCUAAAUAUUCUAAGCUUGAUUGCUCAUUAACAUUCAUAAAAUAUUGAGAUAACCAAAGAAUAAAACACUGAAUUAAAGUAGAGCCAACCAUUAGAAUAAAGCAAAGUGUGAUGAAAAAGAGAUGUGGCGUGAAAACAUUUACAGUUGACCAAAGUACGGCUACCACCUGUCCUUCAAAUAAAGGUGAAUACAUCUUCUCAGUGAUGUUACAUUAGACUAAUGCACCAAGGACUACAAGACUAAAUGAUGACAUCUGAGUCAUUUGGCAUAUAUAAAAUAGACAUUGAAAUAAGGCACUGUCUUGGCGAAAAUAUAUCUUUGAAAACAAAUAAUUGUGGCUCAACAUUUAUUCUUGAUUAGUUCCUUGUGCCCACCUCUGUUCUGUAGCU
Zonotrichia leucophrys gambelii is the source of this 1276-nucleotide long non-coding RNA. RefSeq lists it as uncharacterized. The transcript is spliced from 3 exons. Lineage: Eukaryota; Metazoa; Chordata; Aves; Passeriformes; Passerellidae. The record is from RefSeq and is a predicted model, not a curated record.